CUUGGUCAUUUAGAGGAAGUAAAAGUCGUAACAAGGUUUCCGUAGGUGAACCUGCGGAAGGAUCAUUAACAAGAAGCAUACAAUGUUUCAAACUAAAAAAUCCGUGAACUACAGGAUGAGGACUAUGGAUCUAUCUGGAACAUUGUGUUGGUAGAUUUAUAUAGGUUGAGCCAUCCUAUUUGUAGCCUUUUUUUUAAUGAGCAUGUUUUUUUUUGUACAAUAUGCGUAGAUUAUCAACUCUAUUUGCAGCUUAUUCAAGUAGUACCUUUUUGGUACUUAUUUUUUAUGAAAACAUUGAACAACUCUUAGCAACGGAUAUCUUGGUUCUCGUAGCGAUGAAGAACGCAGCGAAAUGCGAUACGUAAUGCGAAUUGCAGAAUUCAGUGAAUCAUCAAAUCUUUGAACGCAAAUUGCGCUGCUGGGAAUACCUGGUAGCACGCCUCUUUGAGUAUCGGCAAAAAUAAUAUCGACAGCGUCAGUAGUUUGUCGAAUAUUGAGUACCAUAAUAUAAAUAGUUAUUGUGGGACUUCAAAAACUUCUAAUACACAAAACGUGAUAUAGAUAUUGUUUAAUUGUCUUUAUUUGACGAUUUUCUUUUUUCUAUCUUUGCGUGUUAUGUAUUUUCUAUUUUGUUGGGAGCUAAAUUUUAUUUUUUAGCUAGAACCAUUUAAUUAAGAUCUCAAAUGAAGCGAGAUUACCCGCCGAAUUUAAGCAUAUUAGUAAGCGGAGGAAAAGAAACUAACAAGGAUGCCCUUAGUAACGGCGAGUGAAGCGGGCAAAGCUCAAUUUGUUAAUCGGAGUACUAUUAGUAUUUCGAGUUGUAGUGUCGAGAUAUGUGGACCGUAGUGACCCGGAUAUAAAUCUUUUUGGAAUAAGGUAUCAUAGAGGGUGAGAAUCCCGUCUUUGAUCCGAAGUUCACUAUUUACGUCCCGUGUUCAAAGAGUCGAGUUGAUUGGUAUCUCAGCUCUAAAUGGGAGGUAAGUUUCUUCUAAAGCUAAAUAAUGACGAGAGACCGAUAGCAAACAAGUACCGUGAGGGAAAGAUGAAAAGAACUUUGAAAAGAGAGUAAAAUAGUACUUGAAAUUGUUAAGAGCGAAACACUGAAUACCAGUCUAAUUUCUACAAAUAUGAUAGUCAAGGGCUAAAGUUUUUAAGCAAGUGAGUUUAAAUCCACUUAACUUGGGAAAUGUAGCAUCUUAGUUAUCUACUAUUUGUUGAAAUAUGUCAUGAUCAAUUGAAUUUGCAGGAGAAAACUUAAUGAUGGUAGUAUGAGGCAUACGUGCUUUAUAUGCAUUAUUGGGCUAUACUGUGGGUUUGAUUGAGGUUUUACAGAUAAAACGCGCUAAUACUGAGGUAUGGUAGUCGUACCCGUCCCCAUGAAGUACCUAAUGGUAUGGAUUUGGAACGGAGUUAUGAACUGCGUUUUCGCGAUUUUGACUAAAUGAUAUUCAUUGACCCGUCUUGAAACACGGACC
RNAcentral lists this ribosomal RNA (1475 nucleotides) under uncultured fungus. RNAcentral describes it as "eukaryotic LSU rRNA". The stretch from base 675 to 1475 matches the Rfam family "Eukaryotic large subunit ribosomal RNA", at positions 1 to 667 of the family's 3401-position model. The record is from RNAcentral. Lineage: Eukaryota; Fungi.